ACUCUUUCAAUUCAAUAAAACAGGCCCUAUAUAAGCCCUGCUGGCUUUGGCCAGCUAUGGCGAUAAACGGACGAUGCAAUAAGCCCAUUGGACCCGGGGGCGGUACCCGGCGCCUCCACCACAAUGCAGCUGAUUUCGCUGCCUUGUGGCGGGGGCGAAAUAGGAUCGACAAGGGUGUAAAGAUCGAACUUUUGCCCGGCAUUGUACCACCGUUAUCGGGCUAACUCAGUAGUUGCAAACGACAACUAUGCGGAAGCACGUCUCGCUGCUUAAUUGCGGUGUGAUCGCUUCAAAUUAAGUCCUAGGGGUUCGCACUUCUAGGCGGGGUUCGGAGGUACCUGGCAACAGAAACCUCCACU
RNAcentral lists this transfer-messenger RNA (359 nucleotides) under Phyllobacterium sophorae. It matches the Rfam family "Alphaproteobacteria transfer-messenger RNA". From Rfam's summary of the family: Bacterial tmRNA, also known as 10Sa RNA or SsrA, is named for its dual tRNA and mRNA-like properties. Its role is to liberate the mRNA from a stalled ribosome. The record is from RNAcentral. RNAcentral also lists the same sequence under 1 other name. Lineage: Bacteria; Pseudomonadati; Pseudomonadota; Alphaproteobacteria; Hyphomicrobiales; Phyllobacteriaceae.